AUUGAACGCUGGCGGCAUGCUUUACACAUGCAAGUCGAACGGUAACAGGCCUUCGGGUGCUGACGAGUGGCGGACGGGUGAGUAAUGCAUCGGAACGUGCCCAGAGGUGGGGGAUAACGCAGCGAAAGCUGUGCUAAUACCGCAUGUGAUCUGAGGAUGAAAGCGGGGGACCAAGCAGCAAUGUUUGGCCUCGCGCCUCUGGAGCGGCCGAUGUCAGAUUAGGUAGUUGGUGGGGUAAAUGCCUACCAAGCCGACGAUCUGUAGCUGGUCUGAGAGGACGACCAGCCACACUGGGACUGAGACACGGCCCAGACUCCUACGGGAGGCAGCAGUGGGGAAUUUUGGACAAUGGGCGCAAGCCUGAUCCAGCAAUGCCGCGUGCGGGAAGAAGGCCUUCGGGUUGUAAACCGCUUUUGUACGGAACGAAAAGGCUCUGGCUAAUACCUGGGGCUGAUGACGGUACCGUAAGAAUAAGCACCGGCUAACUACGUG
RNAcentral lists this ribosomal RNA (492 nucleotides) under uncultured bacterium. RNAcentral describes it as "partial 16S ribosomal RNA". It matches the Rfam family "Bacterial small subunit ribosomal RNA", at positions 30 to 507 of the family's 1533-position model. The record is from RNAcentral.